GGGCACCGGCGCAGGCUCGCUUUCCGGCGGUUGAGCCGGGCCGGGGCGCCAGCGCCCGCCUUCCCGUUUCCUCCCGUUCCGCAGCGCGCCCACGGCCUGUGACCCCGGCGAUCGCUCCUCAGUGACGAGAGAGCGGGGCCGGGCGCGGCUCCGGCCUGACCUGCGAAGGGACCUCGGUCCAGUCCCCUGUUGCCCCGCGCCUCCCGUUCGUCCGUGCGCGGGCCAGUCAAGGGCCAGUGUCUCGAGCGGUCGAGGUCGCAGACCUAGAGGCGUCCCACAGGCCGGCCCGGGGCGCUGGGAGCGCCGGCCGCGGGCCAGGUGGGGAUGCCCCUGCACGUGAAGUGGCCGUUCCCCGCGGUGCCGCCGCUCACCUGGACCCUAGCCAGCAGCGUCGUCAUGGGCUUGGUGGGCACCUACAGCUGCUUCUGGACCAAGUACAUGAACCACCUGACCGUGCACAACAAGGAGGUGCUGUACGAGCUCAUCGAGAACCGAGGCCCGGCCACGCCCCUCAUCACCGUGUCCAAUCACCAGUCCUGCAUGGACGACCCUCAUCUCUGGGGGAUCCUGAAACUCCGCCACAUCUGGAACCUGAAGUUGAUGCGUUGGUGAGGAGGAAUGGGUCCCUCGAAGUGGGCCGGGCCGGCCCCACCUGCCUCUGCCCAGAUUUGCCCUCCUCCUGCUCUGCCCAGGAGGACCCCUGCAGCUGCAGACAUCUGCUUCACCAAGGAGCUACACUCCCACUUCUUCAGCUUGGGCAAGUGUGUGCCUGUGUGCCGAGGAGAUGGCGUCUACCAGAAGGGGAUGGACUUCAUUUUGGAGAAGCUCAACCAUGGGGACUGGGUGCAUAUCUUCCCAGAAGGUCAGCAGGGCUGACUGGGUCGAGCCCCCCCAGUAUGAGCGGGAUGGGCUCCCAAGCCUCGCCUCUGUGCUCUCUCACCAGGGAAAGUGAACAUGAGUUCCGAAUUCCUGCGUUUCAAGUGGGGUAAGGGCUGCUGGUCUCUGGCCACAGCCAUCCUCCCGGCCCAGAGAUGGCCCUGUGGGCCCCUGGCUCCCGCCCCCUCGGGCUGGGUUGUAUGGGGGUAGAUGGGCAUGUUGUAGCGCCAGGAAGGGGACAGGUGCUGAGACUAGGGCCUGCCUCUCGCAGGGGCUUGCCCAAGGGAGCUGAAUUGAACUGGAGGAUGUCGGGGGUGGCACUGGCCAGAGGCUGGCACAGAAGCUUGGCUCAGGGCCCAGCUUAUGCUAACAUUUCUACCUCCCCACCGGGCAGGAAUCGGGCGCCUGAUUGCUGAGUGUCAUCUCAACCCCAUCAUCCUGCCCCUGUGGCAUGUCGGAAUGAAUGACGUCCUUCCUAACAGUCCGCCCUACUUCCCCCGCUUUGGACAGAAAAUCACCGUGCUGAUCGGGAAGCCCUUCAGUGCCCUGCCUGUACUCGAGCGGCUCCGGGCGGAGAACAAGUCAGCUGUGGAGAUGCGGAAAGCCCUGACGGACUUCAUUCAAGAGGAAUUCCAGCGUCUGAAGACCCAGGCAGAGCAGCUCCACAACCACCUCCAGCCUGGGAGAUAGGCCUUGCUUGCUGCCUUCUGGAUUCUUGGCCUGCACAGAGCUGGGGCUGAGGGAUGGACUGAUGCUUUUAGCUCAAAUGUGGCUUUUAGACAGAUUUGUUCAUAGACCCUCUCAAGUGCCCUCUCCGAGCCGGUAGGCAUUCCAGCUCCUCCGUGCUUCCUCAGUUAAACGAAGGACCUCAGCUGCCUCUCCCACUUGGCCAAGCAGGGAGGAAGAAGCUUAGGCAGGGCCCUCUUUCCUUCUUGCCUUCAGACGUUCUCUCCCAGGGGCUGGCAUCAGGAGGGAGCAUAGAAGGCAGGUGAGCAACCAGUUGGCUAGGGGAGCGGGGGGCCCACCAGAGCUGUGGAGAGGCGACCCUAAGACUCCUCGGCCUGGCUUCUACCCACCGCCCUUGCCAAACCAGGAGCUGCUCACGACCUCCUCAGGGAUGGCCAUUGGCCACGUCUUCCUUCUGCCUGAGCUUCCCCCCGCCACAGACCCUUUCCUCGGGCAAGGUCUGGCCUCAGGUGGGCCGCAGGCGGGAAGAGCAGCCCUUGGCCAGAGGUCAAGCCCAGCCACGUGGAGCCUAGAGUGAGGGCCUGAGGUCUGGCUGCUUGCCCCCAUGCUGGGGCCAACGACUUCUCCAUCCUUUCUGCCUCUCAACAUCACUUGAGUCCUAGGGCCUGGGUUUUCAUGUUUUUGAGACAGAACCAUAAAGCAUAUGUGUUGGCUUGUUGUAAAA
This is an RNA transcript of Nomascus leucogenys (northern white-cheeked gibbon), 2287 nucleotides long. It is a transcript of the gene named tafazzin, with no coding region annotated. NCBI's taxonomy places the organism in Eukaryota, Metazoa, Chordata, Mammalia, Primates, Hylobatidae. The record is from RefSeq and is a predicted model, not a curated record. The transcript is spliced from 8 exons.